Pseudophryne corroboree (corroboree frog) is the source of this 922-nucleotide long non-coding RNA. RefSeq lists it as uncharacterized. Lineage: Eukaryota; Metazoa; Chordata; Amphibia; Anura; Myobatrachidae. The transcript has 3 exons. The record is from RefSeq and is a predicted model, not a curated record.
AGGUGAGGGACCUGCUACUUACCCUUUGGACUCCCCAUAUGCGGACAGAUAAGCUGUUUUAAUUAUUCAAUCCUGCUGCCGCGCAGAGGAGGAAGUCGGCCUGAGCAUCGCUGCGGGAAGCGCCGUGGAGACCAGGGGAGACGACAGGUGCUGCGGAGAGCCGGGAGCCAUGACGGAUGACGAGACCCGCCAGCCGCCGCCAAAGGAGACCCGCCAGCCGCCGCCACUUGCCGGCGGAAGCAGCAGGAGAAGCUGAUAAAGAAUGAGGUGCUCCCAGCCCAGGAGAUGCCCGAACAGGUACCUCACCCUGGGAGGCAGGAGACCACACCACCCGCAGAGAGAGAUGAGCCGAAACAAGACCAGGCAAGACUGGUGCCCUCUGCACCCCGUGCAAAGCAAGCACCCCCUCCACCUCGGGCAAGACUGGCACCUCCUGCACCCCGGGAGAGAAAAGUGCCCCCACCACCUCGGGCAAGAAAAGGUCCAACAUCUCGCCCAAGACAGGUGCCCCCACCACCUCGGGCACGUCAGCCACCUCCCCCACCCCGGGUAAGACAGGCACCUCCGCCUCCCCGGGCAAGGCAGGCACCCCUGCCAUAGAGGCAUUUAUCAACGCCAUAGUCAUCUAAGAGGCAUGCCUUAACAAACAUCAAAGGCAUGCGAGCCUCACCACCAUCAGAGGCAAGCGCCCUCACCACCGUCAGAGGCAUGCGCCCUCAAUACCAUCAGAGGCAUGCGCCCUCAAGACCAUCAGAGGUAUGCGCCCUCAACACCAUCAGAGGCAAGCGCCCUCACCAUCAGAGGCAUGCACCCUCACUACCAUCAGAGGUAUGCGCCCUCACCACCACCAUCGGAGAGGCACACACCUCUACCACCAUCGGAGAAAUGCCUGCAGACACAAAAAUCUUUUUAAUAAAAUACU